GGGUGAAAUACUGCCAGUCUCAAUAUUUCUUCUUUUUUGGUAGUGGGUUCACCUAGGGGUACUUUAAGUGCUCUAUCUUACAUCCCCAGCCUAAGGUCUUUGUGAACAAAAACUGCUUAAAGUUGCCCCUUUACUUGGCAAUCCAGGGUUUUUUUUAAUACCCAGGAACAUUGUGCCAUUAUAUUAUAUAAGAUAUGUAAGUGUAUAUCUUUCUUUUGUAAGUGGGAGAAGUGGGAUGUAGGAAAACAUAGUGAUGUUGAUUUUUUUUUUAUUAGUUGUUCAAAACAUUACAAAGCUCUUGACAUUGAUGUUGAUUCUUUAAACCCAAAGAAUAUAUGUGCCCAUGUACUUCUUGAGUCUUCAUUUUACCCUCGCGGUACAUAUCUCACUUUAAAGAAUGCUACUCUAAUUUGUUUUCUUCUCCUGCACCCACCAUUAUUAAUGUUUUAUGCAGUUAAUGUUUGCUGAGUUCUUACCAAUUUCUUUGUUCACCAGUUCUGCACUGGAGAUCCGCUUUUAGUUACUCUUUUCUUUAUUUUUAAGUUGUUUAGACUGCCAUUGAAAUUGCCAUCCUCCUGCCUCAGUAGCCUGAGUUACUGGGAGUACAGGUAUGCACCAUGGUGCUGGGCUUCUUUCCUUUUUCUUGAAGUAAAAGAAUUCCCCUUUAGAACUACCUGGGGUGGGGGGAAGGGGGCUCUGCUGAUGGUUCACUAAAUUUGUUUACUAAAAGUAUCUUGAGUUGUCUUAAAUUUUGCAAUUCUAUUUUUUAAUGUUUUUAUUUUAACACAAAAGUUAUAUUUUAAGUGAUAUACUAUAAGGGGAAAACAAAAUAAAAAUUCUAGAGAAGAAAUUAUCUUCAUCUUCUGUGAUCUUAAACUAUAAACAAACUAUAGUUGAUUACAGCCCUACUUUAUAUGUCUACACUGACUGGUUUUAGAAAUUCCACAUUUUGUAAUUCCAACAGAUUGUGAUAGAUAACUAAGACACAAAUCCCUUGAUUUGAUAAGCAGUUUCCAAUGGGAGUAAGUUUGUAUAUAUUCUCUAGUAUCUACUACCUAUGAAGAACUUUGGUUUCAAAGUUAUAUGUGUGCUAGGUGCAGUGGCACAUGCUUGUUAUCUCAGCUACUCCAGAGGCUGAGAUAGAAGGAUCAUAAGUUUGAGGCCAGUUCAGGUGCCUUAGCAAGAUCCUGUCACAAAAUAAAAAAGGCUGGGGAUGUAGCUCAGUGCUAGAGUGCCACUGGGUUCAAUCCCCAGCAGGAUACAAAACAUACAAAAAGAGGUUAUAUAUGCAAUUCAAAAUGCUCCCUUGUAAAUGAUGAGACAGGGUUCUUAUUUAAACAUUACUGAUAUCAACAAAGCUUUCUUAUACACAAUUACUGCACCUGGUAUUCAAAGUUUACUGAACGAUGGGGCUUUGGUUAUAGCUCAGUGGUAGAGUGCUUGCCUAGUACGUGUAAGGCUCUGGGUUCAAUCCUCAGCACCUCAUAAAAAUAAAG
Molecule: long non-coding RNA, 1496 nt
Filed under: Marmota monax (woodchuck)
Lineage: Eukaryota; Metazoa; Chordata; Mammalia; Rodentia; Sciuridae
Source: RNAcentral